AUGAAUUUCCUGGCAGAUGAGGAAGGUGACUGCAUCCAGAAGACGUUUCAGAGUGUAAAUUCACAGCCUUUCCAUGUCUAAUCAAGGAACGUAAACCGUUAGCCACAUGUUCUCCAUUUCCAUCACAUUUUUUCACACUUAAACAAAAACAUGCCAAAGAAAAGGUGCUACAUUCUUUAAUGCCCCCAAAUAGGAACCACAGGAGUCUGUUAAAUGUGGUGGCCGUUUCCAGCUUGCAAAUCAAUUUUCCUUGUGGUGGUGAAGUGGUGAAUAAUGCCUGGCUUGUUUUAAGGAGGCAUGACUGAUUUUGGAUGAAGGAUCCUGUCACUUUGGCAUUUUUCAUUUUAUUUAUUGCACACAACCGUAUAAAACUUGGUCCUGAUCUAAGUGCCAGGCAUAAUAGUGGAAAUAGCUGAAAGGACCACAGAACUACUGGUGGAGUAAAGGGGCUUCUCCUGAAAGGCAUCUUCUGGACUCCUCUGAAAUUAUUUUGAAUAACAUGGCAGUCAAGGAUUUCAUCAGCUGGUAUCUGCUGGCUUUAUUUUUUCUUCCAUUUUGCCUGUGUCAAGAUGAAUACGUGGAGGUGAGCAGAGGAUCUUAUAAACCAGUGGCCAAAGUAUUGCAAAGUCAUCACCAGACUGGCCAUAAAGGUUCCAGAAGCAGGGAAAUAUUGAGACAGCGGAGUCAACUUGUAGAGUGGACGAUUGAUGAUAAUAGCACUUCUACAGACCAAAAAGCCCAGAGACCAGAGGUAGAUGAUGUAGAGCAGACUACCUCAGACAGAGUCCAGCCCCCUCCGAGUGGACCCCAGAAUACAGACUGCAGUGCCUGCUGUCGUGGAGAUUUUGGAAUGAAACUCUAUCAAGGACCACCAGGACCUCCUGGACCUGCUGGGAUGCCAGGAAAUCAUGGAAACAAUGGAAAUAAUGGAGCAACUGGCCAUGAUGGAGCCAAAGGGGAGAAGGGAGACAAAGGGGACCUGGGACCAAGGGGAGAUCGUGGCCAUCAUGGACCAAAAGGAGAAAAAGGUUAUCCAGGGAUUCCACCAGAACUCCAGGUUGCAUUCAUGGCUUCCAUGGCAACUCACUUCAGUAAUCAGAACAGUGGGAUAAUCUUCAGUAGUGUUGAAACCAAUGUUGGAAAUUUCUUUGAUGUUAUGACUGGUAGAUUUGGUGCUCCAGUCAAUGGAGUAUAUUUCUUCACCUUCACUAUGAUGAAACAUGAAGAUGUGGAGGAAGUGUAUGUGUACCUAAUGCACAAUGGUAACACAGUUUUCAGCUUAUAUAGCUACGAAUCGAAAGGAAAAUCUGACACGUCAGGGAACAGCGCAGUGCUAAAACUUGCCAAGGGAGAUGAAGUGUGGCUGCGUAUGGGGAACGGAGCGCUACAUGGAGAUCAUCAGCGCUUCUCCACUUUUGCUGGGUUUCUUCUUUUUGAAACAAAGUAAAAACAGAAGUCCAUUUUGAUGCAGCUCCUUUAUUCAGGUGAUAUUCUUUCUGGUCUAUAGAAUGACGUUACAUAUUAAGAGCAAAGAAGGCUUGUUUGGAUGCAGUACGUUGGUAUUUGUGUAUUGGGGAUGCAUUGAACACAUCGAGCAGGUGACACAGAUACAGAUUCUCAUGAGGCUUGCACCAUAGGAGCUGGCUCUGGCUAAACUACAAGAGGACUCAGCUUCAGAUGAGAGUGGAUUUAGAGGAAUCAGUUUAUACUGGACUAGAAAAACCUUUGCAAAAACAAAAAAAAAUGUGAAAAGUAAAGAUGGCAGGGAUUCAGGUUUCUUGCACCAUCCUCUUUUACAUUUUGAAGAUGAGUUUGGUGACUUUAAUACAGUUUUCAUGUACAUAUUCACUCCUUCAAAAAAAAAGUGUGUUAGGUUUUCUCAGUUUGAGAAAUCCAAAGAUGAGUUUCUUUUGCCUGAGUUAUGCAGGUCAUAUGGUUCUUUCUGGUCUACAAAUUGUGAAAACUGUCCUGGCAAUGCUACGUAUCAGGACAGAGACCUAGCCAGUAUUACCGGAGAUAUUUGAAAUGGUUCAAACAGCACAACAAGCUAGAGGACAGGUACUCUGUAGAGCUUGGAGCUCUUUUUAAAAGAAUGACCUUACAAUACAGUUGUCAGUGUUAUUUUUCGCACAAUCUCUCCUGGAAGUGUUGCUUCUAGGAGACAGUUGGCAUGUUUACAUGUACAUUAAUGCACCAUAAUAACAUAUACUAACUUAACAUGCUGUAAUUGGCAGUACUGCUCAGUAGCGCCGGCGCACAUCUUUUACACAAUGCUAACGCACAGUAGACUGAUUCUACAGCGCAUUAACGCAUUAACACAGCUUUUGCCAUGAUGUGCUAAUGUACAAUAGAAUUAGUCUACUGUGCUUUUAGCAUCUCAUGUAGAUACGCCCAGUAUUUCAGAAAUGGCUUUACAAUAUGGUAUGCCAGCAACUACGAUGUAUACAGAAUAUACAAUAUAUAGCUGAUAAACCAAAAUGUUAUUGGUUCAGGUGAUCUGUAUCUACAAACCUGGUUCUGGCCAUUGUAUUUUUGUUAUUCAUCUGUCUUCACAAGCAGUAGCACUUGUCCUCCAUUUUUCAACUUUGUUACUUUAAGUCCUAUCUUGUCUAUGCUUUGGUAUUUUAAAAAUUAAUUUACAAGUUCCAAACAGGCUAAAGCACUCUUAACAGUCUUUAACACAAGGGCCCUUCUGCAUAUUACAGCCUUCCCCAUACAAAGCUUUCCCUGUGUAAAUUUUAUCUUAAGUUCUUUUAUGCAAGAUAGUGAUAACCAUUGACAGUAUCACAGACUAAUGAUUUUAAAAUCUAACUUUUGAAUGUGUGUGUCCUUUUAUUCAUUCCUAGUCUGUGUUAAUUUCUUUUUUUAGGGAAAAAUGUGUUAAUACUUGACCAAUAAGAUUGCUAUGCUUUUUAGAUUUUACUUCAAUCACUGAUAAAUAUGGAUGUUAAUGAAUUGUCAUUUAAUAACAUUAGGUUUUAUUUAUAUAGUGUUGUACCAAAACAUUUCAUAACCUAAGACCUUAUUAUUUUCAUAAGCAUUUUAGCAACAAUUCGGGGUGCCUUAAAAUUAGAAAAGAAAUCACAUUAGGAAAUCCCAUUGGUGUUGCUGUUUUGAAAUAAGUCCACCUAGUGCAUGUGACACAUGGCCUUGUGCAUUAACUUCCAUGAUAAGAGAAAUGUUUGCUGAAAAUACUAUUUCUUGCUUUGUUAGGAAUGUUUGCGUACUUUGUAAAACAUGUAGUUACCUAAUAAACACGAAUAGUUAUAAAA
Molecule: RNA transcript, 3272 nt
Organism: Alligator mississippiensis (American alligator)
Lineage: Eukaryota; Metazoa; Chordata; Crocodylia; Alligatoridae
Gene: C1QTNF3
Gene name: C1q and TNF related 3
Exons: 7
Source: RefSeq, a predicted model, not a curated record